GUGGGGAAUUUUGGACAAUGGGCGCAAGCCUGAUCCAGCAAUGCCGCGUGCAGGAAGAAGGCCUUCGGGUUGUAAACUGCUUUUGUCAGGGAAGAAAUCUUCUGGGCUAAUACCCCGGGAGGAUGACGGUACCUGAAGAAUAAGCACCGGCUAACUACGUGCCAGCAGCCGCGGUAAUACGUAGGGUGCGAGCGUUAAUCGGAAUUACUGGGCGUAAAGCGUGCGCAGGCGGUUUUGUAAGACAGGCGUGAAAUCCCCGGGCUCAACCUGGGAAUUGCGAUUGUGACUGCAAGGGUGGAGUGCGGCAGAGGGGGAUGGAAUUCCGCGUGUAGCAGUGAAAUGCGUAGAUAUGCGGAGGAACACCGAUGGCGAAGGCAAUCCCCUGGGCCUGCACUGACGCUCAUGCACGAAAGCGUGGGGAGCAAACAGGAUUAGAUACCCCAGUAGUCC
RNAcentral lists this ribosomal RNA (450 nucleotides) under uncultured bacterium. Its description in RNAcentral is "bacterial SSU rRNA". It matches the Rfam family "Bacterial small subunit ribosomal RNA", at positions 354 to 796 of the family's 1533-position model. The record is from RNAcentral.